Molecule: ribosomal RNA, 501 nt
Filed under: uncultured bacterium
Lineage: Bacteria
Description: partial 16S ribosomal RNA
Rfam family: Bacterial small subunit ribosomal RNA
Source: RNAcentral
AUUGAACGCUGGCGGCAUGCCUUACACAUGCAAGUCGAACGGCAGCACGGGUGCUUGCACCUGGUGGCGAGUGGCGAACGGGUGAGUAAUAUAUCGGAACGUACCUUAUUGUGGGGGAUAACGCAGCGAAAGCUGUGCUAAUACCGCAUAAUCCCUAAGGGGGAAAGCGGGGGACCGUAAGGCCUCGCGCAAUUAGAGCAGCCGAUACCUGAUUAGCUAGUUGGUGAGGUAAAGGAUCACCAAGGCAACGAUCAGUAGCUGGUCUGAGAGGACAGUCUGCCACACUGGGGCUGAGACACGGCCCAGACGCCUACGGGAGGCAGCAGGGGGGAAUUUUGGACAAUGUGGGAAACCCUGAUCCAGCAAUGCCGCGUGAGUGAAGAAGGCCUUCGGGUUGUAAAGCUCUUUUGUCAGGGAAGAAACAGCAGCUCUAACACAGUAUGCGAAUGACGGUACCUGAAGAAUAAGCACCGGCUAACUACGUGCCAGCCGCCGCGGUAA